GCAAGUUUUAAAAUUGUUUUUGAGUGAAUUAAACUUAUUUUAACAAUCAUGAAGCGUUCCAGAAUCAUUUUAAAGCAGUUUCUUCUUCUCUUUGGUGAUGGAAAAUAGGUUUUCUCAAGAAAAUACCGCAAACGAUCGCAGAGGAAUUGAAACGUACAAGUCAAGUCGGCACCUGGUUAAAUUGGCAUCUAGUCAAAUCGGCACCUAUUCGACGUCAAUUCGGCAUCCAAUAAUAUUUGAUAUAAUAUUUUCUAUUCAAUUAAUUAAUUACUGUUACCAAGUACAUAGUGAAUAUGUUGUUGUGUAUUUCGGUAAACCACGAAACGAAAGUGAA
This 334-nucleotide long non-coding RNA is filed under the name Mytilus galloprovincialis (Mediterranean mussel). The record is from RNAcentral. Lineage: Eukaryota; Metazoa; Mollusca; Bivalvia; Mytilida; Mytilidae.